ACUCGUACCGAUGUGCCAAGAAACGAUGGAAUCGGCGUUGGGGAGACCCGGCUCGUUUCUUCCACCUCUGGACCGGAUCCCUUGCGCCGCCGCCAACCUCCCUUCCCCCGCACGCUCCUGCUCGUCCUGUGCGCGCCGUCGUUGCUCGUCCCGCACACUCUUCCCGUGCCCCUCUCCCGAAUCCAUCACCGGCACACACCAAAUUUGUUACUGGCGGACACCAAAUCCCUCUCUCGCGCCUCAUCCAAAUCCCCUAAAAAAUCUGUAGCACAGUAGCCCUUCCUCAAUCGAUUUCCCACCUCAAUCUUCAUGAAUCAAAAUCUGCCCUCAAUCUCUCAGAGAAUGAAUCGAGUGAGUGGUUCCACGCAAGGCUCUGGAUCAGCAGCCGCCCAUGGUGCGGCAACCUCUGCUCCGGCCACCGGCGAUGCUGCAACUACUGUUCAAGUCGUCGGUGUUCCUGUAUGGUGGACAAUGCAUCUCUUGGGGCCUUCUUUAGGCAUGAUUCAUCUCUUACUGAAGGCCUGAUGGCUUCUGGAUGACUGCUGGACCUACUUGAGAUGAUGCCGUGCAAACCUGAUGGUGGCACCUUAUAUUAUUUUAUAUACUAUAAUAUAUCAUGAACUUUAGUUAUUCUGUUGCCCAACUAUAUGAAAUCUCCUGAUGUAUGAUGUCAUUGUUAUCUUUAUCUAUAAAUUUGUGUGUAUUGAACUAUGUGGUAUCUAUUAUCUUUAUAUCUAAAUUCUGUUCUAAACUA
Long non-coding RNA from Sorghum bicolor (sorghum), 754 nucleotides. RefSeq lists it as uncharacterized. The record is from RefSeq and is a predicted model, not a curated record. Lineage: Eukaryota; Viridiplantae; Streptophyta; Magnoliopsida; Poales; Poaceae. The transcript is spliced from 2 exons.